CUACGUGCCAGCAGCCGCGGUAAUACGUAGGUGGCAAGCGUUGUCCGGAAUUAUUGGGCGUAAAGCGCGCGCAGGCGGAUUGGUCAGUCUGUCUUAAAAGUUCGGGGCUUAACCCCGUGAUGGGAUGGAAACUGCCAAUCUAGAGUAUCGGAGAGGAAAGUGGAAUUCCUAGUGUAGCGGUGAAAUGCGUAGAUAUUAGGAAGAACACCAGUGGCGAAGGCGACUUUCUGGACGAAAACUGACGCUGAGGCGCGAAAGCCAGGGGAGCGAACGGGAUUAGAUACCCCGGUAGUCCUGGCCGUAAACGAUGGGUACUAGGUGUAGGAGGUAUCGAACCCUUCUGUGCCGGAGUUAACGCAAUAAGUACCCCGCCUGGGGAGUACGACCGCAAGGUUGAAACUCAAAGGAAUUGACGGGGGCCCGCACAAGCGGUGGAGUAUGUGGUUUAAUUCGACGCAACGCGAGGAACCUUACCAGGUCUUGACAU
This 487-nucleotide ribosomal RNA is filed under the name uncultured bacterium. RNAcentral describes it as "bacterial SSU rRNA". It matches the Rfam family "Bacterial small subunit ribosomal RNA", at positions 501 to 987 of the family's 1533-position model. The record is from RNAcentral.